UAAGCGGAAUCGAAAGGCUCCGUUGAGCGCACAGGAGUCAGCAGAAGCCAUAGUACGCAAGUAUGGGACGCCGGAAAGCGGAAGGGC
RNAcentral lists this non-coding RNA (87 nucleotides) under Paenibacillus tianmuensis. The record is from RNAcentral. Lineage: Bacteria; Bacillati; Bacillota; Bacilli; Caryophanales; Paenibacillaceae.